Perca fluviatilis (European perch) is the source of this 321-nucleotide long non-coding RNA. RefSeq lists it as uncharacterized. The transcript is spliced from 2 exons. The record is from RefSeq and is a predicted model, not a curated record. NCBI's taxonomy places the organism in Eukaryota, Metazoa, Chordata, Actinopteri, Perciformes, Percidae.
CCGAUCGGACGAAGGGACACGGGAAAAGAACCUAGGAGCCCUGAAGCUACAAUCAAGAAAACGCCAACACCGACCGCUAGCGGCAAAAGUAGGAGAGUGUAAGACCUCUCCCUCCCGCAGUUUCUGUUACAGGUCAUGCCCCAAGGAAGGUGACCGGUACGAAGGAGGCUGCUUCCUGGCCGAGCCCUGUGGACAUUUUAAGCCAAGACUCCUGUUCUGCCUGGACUGUUUUAGCUUGAUUUUUAUUUAGUUUUUAGUUUAAAAUCCUUUUUUUAACUAAUUUUAUUGUUAUUCCUUUUAAAUAAAUCUGUUUACUCCUCA